This 316-nucleotide small nuclear RNA is filed under the name Tupaia belangeri chinensis (Chinese tree shrew). RNAcentral's name for it is "Tupaia chinensis (Chinese tree shrew) 7SK RNA". It matches the Rfam family "7SK RNA". From Rfam's summary of the family: 7SK was discovered as an abundant small nuclear RNA in the mid-70s but a possible function has only recently been suggested. Two independent studies have found that 7SK RNA binds the CDK9/cyclin T complex (known as elongation factor P-TEFb). P-TEFb activates transcription by phosphorylating the C-terminal domain of RNA polymerase II. The record is from Rfam by way of RNAcentral. Lineage: Eukaryota; Metazoa; Chordata; Mammalia; Scandentia; Tupaiidae.
UGACGGAGGGUGAUCUGGCUGUGACAUCUGUGACAUCUGUCAUCCCAGGGCUGAUUUGACUGGUAAGGCAGGUGUCUCCUUCCUACCUUACUGCUCCUUAUAUGUUCCCCCUGAAGCUGUGCUCUCCCUCUAGGUGGAAGAGGACAACUUUCUCUGGCAGAGAAGCACCACUCUUUGGCCAAGCGUUUCUGAGUAGCCUCACUCCCCUGUUAGAAUCUCCAAAUGAGCUCUCAAGAAAUAAUGCAAGAAAGCAUUAUCUGGUUGCAAGAAGAAAACUAUAAGAUCCACAGUUCUUUUACAAAAACAGGUUAAGGGA